CCACCUUCGCCGCCCCUCAAUCUAAUUCAACGUAGAAAUGUAGAUCUAAAAGAAGGGAAUAUGUUUUCUUGUUCUAGCUAUGGCUGAGAAGAAAACUACAAAGUAGAGCAACAUUUGGAUUCGGACCUUGCAAAAGUAGGUUGGAGAAACAAAGGCGAUUUGAAAAGUCACUUUCACUAAAAGGAUUCAAAGAGUUGAUUUCAAUGACAUUUAGAAGAUGGCAAGAGUGGAACAACGCAUGGAUCGGAGUCAAAACAAGCAAAGGACCUAAUGAAUCUCUCAAUUUGGAAGACAUGCUUGGAAGACAUGGAGAAUGCUUUCUAGAUGUCUACAAUAUAGUAUAAAUAUAAAUUGCACGAGGAACAAUCUGAUUUCCUUUCCAUUGACAUCAUGCUUCGAAGAAAUGCAUGUCGUUUAUUGUCAACGGCUAUUGAAAGACAUGGUGAAUAUUUUUAGACUUUUACAAUUCAACGAUAGCUUAAAUUGCGACACAUUAGAGAUGUAUGACGUAUGUAUACAACAACAUAUAAUAUGCAAAACUUAAUAAAUCAUUUCAAAUAAUACUUCAAUAGGUUGAUAAUGGAAGUAUUACAAGAUAUCAAUCGAAAGUGCAUGAAAAAGUAAGUGCCAAUGAAAUUUUCACGUAACGAAAGACAACUCCUUAGAUGGAUAUGGGUUGAGUUAAAAAUUUGAAGCAUAGGCAUCGUUACAAUUUGCUCACUCAAGUUGUUAACUCUCAUGUCUACUUCAUCUUCAUGCAGUGUCUAUUUAUAUAUUGUAAUACUUCCAUAAUCAACUUGUUGUAACAUUAUUGGAAAAAUACAUUUUUAA
RNA transcript from Andrographis paniculata, 831 nucleotides. RefSeq lists it as uncharacterized. The record is from RefSeq and is a predicted model, not a curated record. The transcript is spliced from 4 exons. Lineage: Eukaryota; Viridiplantae; Streptophyta; Magnoliopsida; Lamiales; Acanthaceae.